CAACCAAUGCGCUCCUUUAAAGCUAGUCUAGAAACAUACAUCUGCAGCCUAAUGUCGCUUCUAUUCAGUUGAUUUCGCAGUCAGAAUGAUCACAGGUUGCUGCGCGGUCGGCUGCAGAAACAGACAAGGAUAGAAACCAAACUUGUCGUUUUAUAACUUUUAAUGAGGGAAGAUACGGCGGCAGCUGCCAGUCAUGACCGUCAGGCCUAACGGCGAAUUUGCAGCUAACAGUUUUACAAGACUUGAAGACCAGUUUCCAGUUUCAUAUCUCUAAUUUACGACAUCAGGGAUGAUGAAAGAGUUGCUCUGCCUCCUCUCCUCUGCCCUCCUCGGCAAAAUUGCUGUUCUCUCCAAAAAUAGACCUGCCUUGCAGACCUUUGAACAUUUCACCAGGCUGAUCGUUUGAGGCCUGCAGCACUGAUGGAAACGGAGCGACACUUUUUUUCGUACUCCAUAAUUAUGCUAGUCAGCGCAAAGCAGUGCAGCGAAAGGUUGGGGAACACAAUGUUACGCGGGAGAGCUGCUUCUAAUUAAACCCUGCAAAAAAUUUUUAAAAAAAA
Long non-coding RNA from Xiphophorus maculatus (southern platyfish), 560 nucleotides. RefSeq lists it as uncharacterized. NCBI's taxonomy places the organism in Eukaryota, Metazoa, Chordata, Actinopteri, Cyprinodontiformes, Poeciliidae. The record is from RefSeq and is a predicted model, not a curated record. The transcript is spliced from 2 exons.